RNAcentral lists this transfer RNA (75 nucleotides) under uncultured marine phage. RNAcentral's name for it is "tRNA-Pro". It matches the Rfam family "tRNA". From Rfam's summary of the family: Transfer RNA (tRNA) molecules are approximately 80 nucleotides in length. Their secondary structure includes four short double-helical elements and three loops (D, anti-codon, and T loops). The record is from RNAcentral.
CGAGUAGCGAUCCAGUGGAGCGGUUACCCGAUUUGGAAUCGGGGUUAUUGUAGGUUCAACUCCUACCUAUUCGAC